This is a non-coding RNA of Stereum hirsutum FP-91666 SS1, 91 nucleotides long. The record is from the annotation of a RefSeq genome assembly. Lineage: Eukaryota; Fungi; Basidiomycota; Agaricomycetes; Russulales; Stereaceae.
GUCCCUAUCGAUUAGUGGUUAAAUCAUCACGUUGUGGCCUGUUUCAUUGCAGCAAUCCGUGAAGCCGCCGGCUCGACUCCGGCUAGGGACA